This 3520-nucleotide long non-coding RNA is filed under the name Marmota monax (woodchuck). Lineage: Eukaryota; Metazoa; Chordata; Mammalia; Rodentia; Sciuridae. The record is from RNAcentral.
CUCACACAUGUGGGCGCUCACCCCUCUUGACAGAGAGCACCAUGGCUCCUGAAGGCACUCAACUUGUUCUAGGUGACAGAAAAGGAGGAGGACAGUGACCGUCCCUCCCACACGCUGCCUUCUACAGGCACACGGCUCAUUCCACGUCAGACACACAACUUGCCCCCCACGCAGGUCCUUUUCUUCCUGUCACCAGAUGUGUAAACCAGGGCUCAGAGCCGGUGGCUGUCCCCGGGAGCAGGCGGGACCCCAGCCCUCUUGUCCAAUCCUGGCAGUCCUUCGAGGCUCCUUUCAGGGAGUGGAAAAGGAAACACUGGGUCCUUUUACAGGGUUUCAUGGCAUGACGAGUAGCCCCUGAGGAUGGUCCAUUCGCUGUGGUUGGAAGGACCGUUUAUUUUCCUGCGGGCCACUCCAGAGCCUUUCAAAGGUGUGAAGUCCCAUGCUGCAAAUGCUGAUGUGACUGGACAUCCAGAUUGCGCCUUGCCUGGCUGGGCCUCAGCCCCUGAGGCUCCGGCCUCUUCUCAUGCACAGCCAGUGGGAACUCCCUCCGGCCUACCUGGUCUCUCCUGCCAUGAAAGGCUGGAGAGUGACAGGCCAGAAACUUGACUCUUGUGUUUAUUCACCAAACACAGAGAGGGCCCUCCAGGUUCUCCUUUGCCAUCCAGACCCUCUGAACGUCAGGGGAGGAGGGGUCACUGGCCUACUCCCAGGCUCCACAUACCUGGACACUCACCUCUGGAGAUUGGCCACUAGGAGGAGCAUCUGGGCUGGUCCGGCAGCAAGAGAGAGUCUGGUAAGACAUAAGGAAGAACUCUCUGACACUGAGGGAUGUUCAACACACAGAGAGAAGAAAAAUUGCUGGAAAUCCUGUGGCAUCUUGGUGAGAUCCCUGGGCUCCUCCAUCUGAACUUCCUUCCACACCCCUGCAGUGAGGAAGGGUGAAGCUUGGGUGUGUGAUUCCCAAGCCCUGCUUUCCACCAGUUCUAACAGGAUUGGAAUUCCACACCAUUCCACAGCAGGAGACAGGGAGUCAGGCUGGACCAAAAGGACGGUUUCUAAAUGUUUUCACCCCGAGUCUGUCAUGUGGUUGAUUACUGGGUAAUUGUGUCCUUGAACUGAUUGGUUGUUUCCUUAUAUAAUAAUCCAGGAAGUUGCAUGGUUAUUUUUUAAAAAUUGAACUGAUGUUAUUGCUGUUUUUCUGUUGUCCUUCCCACCCACCCCCCACCCCCGUCAUUUUUAUAACUGAACAGACUGUUGUGGUUGGACAGAUGUGCUGUGUGUCUAAACUGACCCCUUGUUGGGCUGAGCCGGUGGGUUGUUUGUCUGCAGUGAUCAGCUGUGGGACCCGGGAGGUUGUCCUGCAGGGGUCCUGACAGGAUGUUUUGUCUGAAUGGACUGGUCUGUCGUCACACCAGCUCCAUGCCCCAGCUCCCAUUCAACCCUGAUGUUUCCAGAAAGAUCCAGUCCCCAGUGGUUUGGGGUAUAAAUUCCAUCCUGAUCCAUCAUGAAACAAUCUACACUAUUGUCAUCAUUUUAAAAUGAGGUUCCAGAUUGAGGACCUGGCCAACCACCUGGCACCUGUCGCCCCAUCCUUGCGGCAGAACUGCCUGCCUGGAUGUCCACGUUGGCUGGGCUGAGCCCUCUGGGUCCUGCCCUCUUCCCCCAGCCACCAGCUCGGCCCUUCAUUGGCUUCUCACUCACUCUCUGUCAUUGCUGACAGGUCCACCCACUUUCAAUGGGGUUGUGACAAGAGGGCCCUCACUCCCCCCACUCACCCUGCUCACCCCCUGAGUGGCCUUUCAGAAUCACAGUGAAAGGGACUUGUCCACAAAUGGGGGAUUUGUCAUUGUCCCCUUUGUAAAGGCUCUCUGAUUCCCUGGCCCCACCCCUCCCUUCACCAGAAUCAGCAGGGUGGCCCUAAGGGGCUUUGGAUGUGAGAGCGUGAUGUCCCCAAUGCCCUUGCUCAGAAUCAGGGCUCAGGACUUAGCUUCAGAGCCAGAAGACAACGUUGAGGUGUUUCCUGCCUCCACCCCCUCCCCAUUUUACAGACAGGGAAACUAAGAGUCAGACGGUGAGGCCUCUCACUGCCCUGUUCGCUCAUCUCCACUCUCCUUUGCUUUCAGAAUGGAGGAGGCAACGGUGGACUUUGGCGUUGGUCUCAGAAUGAUGUGCUGCACCUCGGGGAAGGAUCCCCCAUGGCUGCCACCAGUCCUGGAGGACGCGUGGGCAGUGGUUUUGUUGUUUAGCACCAGAAAUCAAAACCUCCAGCCAUGAAAGUGGCAGUUCUUGGUUGAACUGCCUCUAAAAUAAAUAGAUACACUGGCCUGACUAAUUUAAAAUUCAAUUCACAAAAGGAAACAAAGCCAAAUUGUUCUUUUCCUGUUUCUAUUACUUUUGUUCCCACAUUUAGACUAUUUAAUCCAACUUCCUAUUUGUGGGUGGGCCUAUUGGGGACCAGAGGAGUGGUCACUUGCCCAGCAGGCUAGGCUGUGUGUACCUGCAGCCGCUGAUGCUUUCCUGGCCAGCAUUUCAGUUUUGGAAAAAUCUCGGCUCCAUCGAAACGGUAUUCUGAGAACUGUCUGGGCACUGCAGUAGGGUUCGAUCUGGCGAUUUGCACUUUCUAAACUAAAUGGAUUUUUAAGAAAAGGAUUUGAAACUGGCAAAAGGGAUUGCCUUCAGUGUUUUAUCUGUGGGGAAAUUGCCCUCAUCUCUUCGCAUUUCUAAACCCUGAUCUGGUCCCUCUCUAAGAAGGUGCUUUAGGUGAACCUAGGGCUGGCAAAUUCUGCUGGAUAUUGAGCUGGAGAAAAGAUCACACAAGGAAGACAGCCUCGUGCUUAGGCGGCCACCACACAGACCCUGUCUUUACGCUACCUGAAUGGAAAGCUAGAGGUUCAUAUGUAAAUCAUUUAUCUUUGGCUGGUCCUUUUACGGAGUUUGAGAUGAAUUCACUAGGAAGUCCAUGUUUUCUAAAGUACCGGCGUGACUCCGAAGCUGGCUUUGUUUUGCUUUUGGUUUACUCCUCAGUGUGGUAAUAGUAUCCUGAGUGUUGCUCUCCAGCUGAUAUCUAACCACCCUCUUCCACCGGGCAGUCCCCCGUGGGGAUUUACAGCAGGGCGAUGAACCCCCCGGUCUCUCUCUGAACACGAUGAGGAUGUGGAUAACAUCAACAGUUCAUCCCUGAGCCAUCCUCAUCAACCGACUUUAAUCGCCCCCAAGACUGAUAACCAUCAAAGGCUGUUCAUUCCCCGCAAAUUAUCUAAUCCACAUGUUGUCCUAUUUGUGUAAACCCCAGCCUGCGAGGAUCAUAAAAUAAAUAAGCAUGAAAUGGUUGAUAGUUCCCAAUCUCCUCUCACCUAGACAGGCCAGGCUGCUCAUCUCAGCCACUGCUGUGACCCCAGCCUCCCUCCAAGAAGGAAUGGGGAGCGUGGCUUCCUUUGGAGACCUAUUUGCUGCUGUUUCUGGGACUCUCUCCACAAGUACUUCUGCCCCAUCCUUUCUGCCCCCUCUCCCCUCUCAUGCC